Molecule: long non-coding RNA, 268 nt
Filed under: Hordeum vulgare
Lineage: Eukaryota; Viridiplantae; Streptophyta; Magnoliopsida; Poales; Poaceae
Description: long non-coding RNA (HVUL_LNC021112)
Source: RNAcentral
AAGACGGAUCAAGUUGGGCUAUAUAUUAUGGCAAGUUGACCCUACUUUCCAAUUUCGUAGAUAGAACAGUUCUAGUAGAAGGUUAACCCGGCCUUCCUAAGAGUACUAGGUUAAAGGGGAGACCUCUAAAGCCCAGAAAGAACUAUCCUAUCCAUUUAGGAAUCCAAAAGCGCCUUAUCUGUGGAUCACUGACGGCUAUACCCAAUGAGCAAAGUAGAAAGAGCCUAGGAAAAUUCAUCUUCUCCCUAUUCAGUCAGCAGUUGUCCNN